UACAUAGGGAGCAAGCGUUAUCCGGAAUUAUUGGGUGUAAAGGGUGCGUAGACGGAGGAACAAGUUAGUUGUGAAAUCCCUCGGCUUAACUGAGGAACUGCAACCAAAACUAUUAUUCUUGAGUGCAGGAGAGGAAAGUGGAAUUCCUAGUGUAGCGGUGAAAUGCGUAGAUAUUAGGAAGAACACCGGUGGCGAAGGCGACUUUCUGGACUGUAACUGACGUUGAGGCACGAAAGUGUGGGGAGCAAACAGG
RNAcentral lists this ribosomal RNA (253 nucleotides) under uncultured bacterium. RNAcentral describes it as "partial 16S ribosomal RNA". It matches the Rfam family "Bacterial small subunit ribosomal RNA", at positions 524 to 776 of the family's 1533-position model. The record is from RNAcentral.